Molecule: transfer RNA, 77 nt
Filed under: Actinomycetota bacterium
Lineage: Bacteria; Bacillati; Actinomycetota
Description: tRNA-Leu
Rfam family: tRNA
About the family: Transfer RNA (tRNA) molecules are approximately 80 nucleotides in length. Their secondary structure includes four short double-helical elements and three loops (D, anti-codon, and T loops). Further hydrogen bonds mediate the characteristic L-shaped molecular structure. tRNAs have two regions of fundamental functional importance: the anti-codon, which is responsible for specific mRNA codon recognition, and the 3' end, to which the tRNAs corresponding amino acid is attached (by aminoacyl-tRNA synthetases). tRNAs cope with the degeneracy of the genetic code in two manners: having more than one tRNA (with a specific anti-codon) for a particular amino acid; and 'wobble' base-pairing, i.e. permitting non-standard base-pairing at the 3rd anti-codon position.
Source: RNAcentral
GCCCCCGUAUCCCAACCGGUAGAGGAAGGGCACUUAAAAUGCCUACAGUGUGGGUUCGACUCCCACCGGGGGCACCA